Molecule: long non-coding RNA, 1205 nt
Organism: Carassius auratus (goldfish)
Lineage: Eukaryota; Metazoa; Chordata; Actinopteri; Cypriniformes; Cyprinidae
Exons: 6
Source: RefSeq, a predicted model, not a curated record
UUUUUUUAAUUUAGCCCAAAAAUAGAUGUAAAUGGGCUUUAGUCCAAAUUUAGCAGAAAAAAAACUUUUAUUUCGCACCACAAAGCCAUUAACAUAAACUAGUGAAGAAAUUAGACAUCAUGUCUGAUCGCACUGUUAAAUAUAUUUAAAUAUAUUUUGAAAACACUUGAUGGUCACGCGCUGUACUGGAGUCACCAUGGAAACGGGGCUCAGCUCAACCGUCAAGCAGCUGAACAGACGCUGUCUCUCAUGGUUGUUUUCACUAAUUUCAGUUUAUAGAAAUGGUCAGUGUCUUCAUGAAAAGUCCGUUAGCAUCUCAACUGUAAUGCAAACUACAAGAGAUUCUUCCAUGCUGAUGGCCGUGCCUGUAUCCAGCUGAAGAACAUUUUUAGACAUUAUGAAACAUAUAACUAAGACUGAAAAUCAUUGAUAAACCACAAGCUCCAACCCCAGUUAAGCAGACCUGAGCAGCCGAUCAAGGAUCAGCAGAAACUCUGCAGAACGGUGGUCCUCCAGCCCAGGACUGGACACCAGUGUUAUGCUGCAGAAAAAAGAGCGAGGCUAAAGCAUUCAAAGUGGAAACAUCUGCCGUGGCUCAUUAAUCCAGAAUUGGGAUGGAGGAAGGAGCAGAAGAAGCAGAAGAUCAGAGAUCAGGCAGAGAUCUACUGGUGCCCCUGUGGGAACCCCAUUUACCUACUGUGUUAGUUUAACCAAAGAUUUUCCUCACUCACCUUUAUGUUGUUCCAAACCAGACUUUUGUUCAUCCUUGAAACAUAAAUGCGGAACUUUUUAAUGAAAUCUGAGAUUAUUUUCUUUAUAUAAAAUAACACAUUCACACAAGCACCAUGAUGCAUCAGUGUUGCAUUGGCGUGAGAGCUGGCGCUUUUGGUGCUUUUGUGAAAAUCCAUUGGGGAGUCAUAAUUUCUGAAUAGAUUAUUUUUGCUGUUGUUAUUGUUUGUUUGUUUUUUUUUGUACACAAGGCAUCUGUUAAAAAAAUAUCUUAAUUUGUGUUCUGCACAAAAGGGUGUUAUGGGUUUGGGGCAACAUGAGGGUAAGUAAUUAAUGACAGAAUUAAAAUUUUUGGUUGUUCUAAUGUGGUUAUAAUUGGUCAUAGUUUAUUUGUCUUGAAAAAAUAUAUUUAUACAGAAACAUGGAUUAAUUUGAUAAGUUUAUAGUAAAGCCUUUUAAAUUGAUAAAAAAAAAAA